UGGGGAAUAUUGGACAAUGGGCGCAAGCCUGAUCCAGCCAUGCCGCGUGAGUGACGAAGGUCUUCGGAUUGUAAAGCUCUUUUUGGCGGGGACGAUAAUGACGGUACCCGCAGAAUAAGCCCCGGCUAACUUCGUGCCAGCAGCCGCGGUAAUACGAAGGGGGCUAGCGUUGUCCGGAAUUACUGGGCGUAAAGCGCACGUAGGCGGACUGAUAAGUCAGGGGUGAAAUCCCGGGGCUCAACCUCGGAACUGCCUUUGAUACUGUUAGUCUCGAGUCCGGAAGAGGUGAGUGGAAUUCCUAGUGUAGAGGUGAAAUUCGUAGAUAUUAGGAAGAACACCAGUGGCGAAGGCGGCUCACUGGUCCGGUACUGACGCUGAGGUGCGAAAGCGUGGGGAGCAAACAGGAUUAGAUACCCCCGUAGUCCCUGAGCGGGCUGGCAAGGCGCAU
Molecule: ribosomal RNA, 448 nt
Filed under: uncultured bacterium
Lineage: Bacteria
Description: bacterial SSU rRNA
Rfam family: Bacterial small subunit ribosomal RNA
Source: RNAcentral